Molecule: ribosomal RNA, 393 nt
Filed under: Protocruzia adhaerens
Lineage: Eukaryota; Ciliophora; Spirotrichea
Description: Protocruzia adherens partial Bacterial small subunit ribosomal RNA
Rfam family: Bacterial small subunit ribosomal RNA
Source: RNAcentral
AAGUCAAGUCUUUAUGGUCUUUAUAAAUUGGGCUACACACGUGUUACAAAAGUUAAAACAAUAAGUUGUGAAUUUGAAAAAAUGAACAAACCUUUAAAAAUAACUUUAAUUCGGAUUAUUAUUUGAAAUUCAAUAAUAUGAAGUCGGAAUCGUUAGUAAUCGUAAAUCAUUAUGUUACGGUGAACCACCUUGCAUUCUGCACAAACCGCCCAUCACGCUCGAAAAUGAAUGUAUUGUUAGAAGUGGGUAUAAGGUUUAUAAAUAUUAAAAUAAAUAACCAAACUACCGCACCUGCGGUUGGUAUUUUUAAUUAAUUAACUAUAUUUACAAUAGUGGUGCAAUCAAUUUGAGUGAAGUUGAAACAAGGUACUGGUAGGGGAACCUGUUGGUGGA